Molecule: long non-coding RNA, 601 nt
Filed under: Lathyrus oleraceus (garden pea)
Lineage: Eukaryota; Viridiplantae; Streptophyta; Magnoliopsida; Fabales; Fabaceae
Description: Pisum sativum (pea) long non-coding RNA (PSAT_LNC018038)
Source: RNAcentral
GGAUUUGUUGAGGCAGUUCCCCUAUCAUCCUCUCUUAGGGUAUGUCUGCCCUUAAUUCUAAAUCUAGAAUUGAGAUGUUUUUAUUAACACGUUGCAAAGUCAAUACAAGAGAAUAAAUUAUCACCAUCAAUCAACCCCUAGAGUUGUUGUAGAUCAUAUUCUAUUCUCUCCCCUUGAUUCGAGUUGAACCAAAUCCUUCAAGCGCUUCGAACAAACCUUCGGCUACCGCUACCUUAUUGCAAGAACGCCAUGUUCCCCAAAACUUCAGCUCGGCUGCUUUCGAACGCAAGUCGCUUUAAUCCUAAGCUUUCUUCAUAAUCCUCCGGUUAUCGUUACUUGCUUGACCAAACCCACCGUUCUUCAAAAUUUUCACUCGGUUGAAUCUGCGAAGCAAAGGUUAGUGCAAAACCCCCCAAUUCUUGGAGGACAAAACCCUAAUGGUUUUAUUCAAGAAAAACCCACACAAAGCCUCAACCCAAACUAAGAUAAUCCAAUCUUAUUUGGACGUUAUCACAACAGCAAUGCACAAUGCUCAACAAAAAUUAUUAUGUGUGAUUAUUGAGAAAUGCAAUGAAGAAUGAAGAUGACGAGCACUUUGGUG